UCAAUAAUAGCUUUUUAGGAUCAUUAAUCUGCAUCACAUUGUGCUGGGGUAUUUGUGUUUUUGGCCGCUUAAUGAGGAAGUCCAAAGAGGUCUUUGGUGGACUAAACUAUACUACCCCACACUUAUACCCUUCAAUCACUAUAAUCAUAUAUAAAUAUUUGUAGUGGUAUAGUGUGUUAAGUGGUUUGUAAACUUUGAAAACUAUCUCUUCAUUAUCUAACCUCAUUAUGAGUAUGC
This 237-nucleotide long non-coding RNA is filed under the name Capsicum annuum. Its description in RNAcentral is "long non-coding RNA (CANN_LNC006861)". The record is from RNAcentral. Lineage: Eukaryota; Viridiplantae; Streptophyta; Magnoliopsida; Solanales; Solanaceae.